This 519-nucleotide ribosomal RNA is filed under the name Fusarium sp. RNAcentral describes it as "eukaryotic LSU rRNA". The stretch from base 139 to 292 matches the Rfam family "5.8S ribosomal RNA". Lineage: Eukaryota; Fungi; Ascomycota; Sordariomycetes; Hypocreales; Nectriaceae. The record is from RNAcentral.
ACUCCCAAACCCCUGUGAACAUACCUUACUGUUGCCUCGGCGGAUCAGCCCGCUCCCGGUAAAACGGGACGGCCCGCCAGAGGACCCCUAAACUCUGUUUCUAUAUGUAACUUCUGAGUAAAACCAUAAAUAAAUCAAAACUUUCAACAACGGAUCUCUUGGUUCUGGCAUCGAUGAAGAACGCAGCAAAAUGCGAUAAGUAAUGUGAAUUGCAGAAUUCAGUGAAUCAUCGAAUCUUUGAACGCACAUUGCGCCCGCCAGUAUUCUGGCGGGCAUGCCUGUUCGAGCGUCAUUUCAACCCUCAAGCCCUCGGGUUUGGUGUUGGGGAUCGGCGAGCCUUUCUGGCAAGCCGGCCCCGAAAUCUAGUGGCGGUCUCGCUGCAGCCUCCAUUGCGUAGUAGUAAAACCCUCGCAACUGGAACGCGGCGCGGCCAAGCCGUUAAACCCCCAACUUCUGAAUGUUGACCUCGGAUCAGGUAGGAAUACCCGCUGAACUUAAGCAUAUCAAUAAGCGGAGGAA